UUUCUUGAGAAAGUAUAAAGAAGAAAAAGAAAGAGGUGCCAAUUUCAUAUUUGUUGAUGAAACAUGGAUUUUACAGAGAGGCAAGGCAUUAAUUUAUUUGAAAAUUUGUUCUGUGGUCCAAUACAAAGUAUUUCAUUUCCAUUUCAUAUAUUUUUCAGGAACUGUAUCAAAGUCAUGGCAGGACAAGAGUCUACAAUCUGCGAAGAGACGUACUGUUGGAGAUGGUAAAAGGUUUAUUGUUGUUAAUGCUGGAGGGCGCACUGGCUUUGUGCCAGGAGCAGGAUUACUUUUUGUUUCAGGUCAGAAGACUGCAGACUACCAUGGCGAGAUGAAUGGGGAAACUUUCUUGAUGUGGUUUGAAGACAUGUUGGUGCAUCUUGAGGAACCCAGUGUCAUCAUAAUGGACAAUGCUUCAUAUCACAGCACCCAGGUUGAGAAAACACCUACAACGAACUGGACCAAGGAUGCACUGAUCGCGUGGCUGGAGAAGAAUGAGAUAAAACAUGAAAAUAAUUUGUUGAAAGUGGAGCUGCUGAGAAUAGCUAAACAAAACAAGCCCCGAAUACGGUAUAUUAUUUCGUUUUUUUUACAGCAUUUCUUUAAAAGUGAGAUAGUUGCAAAAAAUUACGUAUACGCCUUGUUCUAACACACUUUUCAGAUAUGAGGUAGACGAGUUGGCUCGUAACUAUGGCCACGAAAUUCUACGACUCCCACCCUAUCACUGCCACUAUAAUGCAAUCGAACUAGUUUGGGCUCAAUGUUAACACCAUUACAAUAGUAACGUGGGGCGGGCCAAGAGAUUUGACAAUGAUGCAGUUGCAGCCAUCUGGAAAGAGGCUCUUGAUGCUUCCACACCAGAGAGAUGGGCGAGGUGUGUGGAUCACGUGGAGAAGCUAAUUCAAGCAGACUGGGAGAGAGAAGUCCACAUAGACAGCGGCACCAUUCCUCCACUCAUCAUCCACCUCGGCAAGGAUAGUUCAAGUGAAGACAGUGACAGCGAAGAAUUUGAGGUUACGACACAGCAAGUAGAUGGAGACAGUGAAGUACUGGCAGUUCCUCUUGAUGAUUUACCCGGGUGUUCUUAUUGAGGUCUGUAUGUAAUAAACACCUGGGCAACUGUAAGUAUUGGGGUUUGAAACAUUUUUUUUUCUUUUAUGCAUUCCCAUUAAGUAUGUUGAUUACUGGAACUUUAUGUA
Bacillus rossius redtenbacheri is the source of this 1196-nucleotide RNA transcript. RefSeq lists it as uncharacterized. The record is from RefSeq and is a predicted model, not a curated record. NCBI's taxonomy places the organism in Eukaryota, Metazoa, Arthropoda, Insecta, Phasmatodea, Bacillidae. The transcript has 3 exons.